RNAcentral lists this ribosomal RNA (643 nucleotides) under uncultured bacterium. Its description in RNAcentral is "bacterial SSU rRNA". It matches the Rfam family "Bacterial small subunit ribosomal RNA", at positions 232 to 885 of the family's 1533-position model. The record is from RNAcentral.
CGCGGCCUAUCAGCUUGUUGGUGAGGUUAUGGCUUACCAAGGCGACGACGGGUAGCCGGCCUGAGAGGGUGUCCGGCCACACUGGGACUGAGAUACGGCCCAGACUCCUACGGGAGGCAGCAGUGGGGAAUAUUGCACAAUGGGCGCAAGCCUGAUGCAGCGACGCCGCGUGGGGGAUGACGGCCUUCGGGUUGUAAACCUCUUUCAGUACAGGCGAAGCGUAAGUGACGGUAUGUACAGAAGAAGCACCGGCCAACUACGUGCCAGCAGCCGCGGUAAUACGUAGGGUGCGAGCGUUGUCCGGAAUUACUGGGCGUAAAGAGCUCGUUGGUGGUUUGUCGCGUUGUUCGUGAAAACCUGAGGCUUAACCUUGGGCGUGCGGGCGAUACGGGCAGACUGGAGUACUGCAGGGGAGACUGGAAUUCCUGGUGUAGCGGUGGAAUGCGCAGAUAUCAGGAGGAACACCGGUGGCGAAGGCGGGUCUCUGGGCAGUAACUGACGCUGAGGAGCGAAAGCGUGGGGAGCGAACAGGAUUAGAUACCCUGGUAGUCCACGCCGUAAACGGUGGGUACUAGGUGUGGGUUUCCUUCCUUGGGAUCCGUGCCGUAGCUAACGCAUUAAGUACCCCGCCUGGGGAGUACGG